Clupea harengus (Atlantic herring) is the source of this 196-nucleotide long non-coding RNA. RefSeq lists it as uncharacterized. The record is from RefSeq and is a predicted model, not a curated record. Lineage: Eukaryota; Metazoa; Chordata; Actinopteri; Clupeiformes; Clupeidae. The transcript is spliced from 3 exons.
ACACCGAACGCCACCCACCUCGGCCCCGCGACCCCGCUCACAGUGCUACGAUGGCAUGCUGUACUCACCAACUGGAAGCUCCACUCAAAGUGUGGACAGUGAUGUGGCAGAGGAAGAGGAAAGGGAAGAGCUGAUGGGAGGCGCUCUGGGCCGCACGUUCAGCUUCCUGCGCAAGAUGUCCAUCCGCAGAGGCAAG